UGAAGAAAUAAGUGUUACACACAGCAUGUAUGCAAUUUCUGGAUAGAAAACAAUCUGUGGUUCUGCUGGCAGGUUUAGCUUCUGCAUCAUCAAGGAAGGUGAGGUGGUUUGUGCUAUCCUCAUGUUGAGUCAACUCUGCUAAGAUGUGGUUUAGACUAUGAAAAGAUGGACAUGCUUGUGCACUUGCUUCUCCUAUGUAGAGAGUGUUUUCAUCCACUACAGUGAAUAACUCCUGACAAUGGACUUGCACAUUGUUCUCAGAUGUGCUGGAUGAGGGGAGAGAAGGGGAUGGUGAAUUGGCAACCAGUUCAAACUCUGCUGCAUACCUUCUGAAGAGAGCUGAAGCCAAAUAGUUUUUAGCUCUUCUUUGCACAGUUUGACAAAUGAACUCCAACAAACCAGGAGGCAGCUACCUGCCCAGCAAGAUCCAGCUAAAAGGGAGGGCAAAGAUGUGAGGAACAUGAGAGAGCAGGAGAACAGAGAAAGCUUGAAAACCUCCCUCCAAGUCCAGAGGCUCCUGGCCUUGGUCAUUGCCUGAACUCUGCUACCAAAUCUGUCUCAAUGCAUCUCUCCUGCCCAGUGAACUCUAUCUCAUGGCUAAGAUGUUCCCUGCUGUUUGGGGACGCACAGUGUUGUGCAAUGUGUUGUAACAUUGGUUUCAUGUCUGUGUGGGUGUCUUUCUGGCAAGAAAAAGAAAGUUUUGAGCCUCAUUCUCCCAUCUUCCUAGUUAUUGUCUGCCAGACUGUUUGCUAGUAUAAAGGAGGCAGGGUGAUGGUGGUGGCUUAUUUUCCACUUGACAGCAUAACAAAACUACAGGGAAAAUACUCCUUCACUCAGUUCAUACUCAGAAAGCCCUUUGUUUUGUUGUGGGUUUAUUCUGGGGUGUUUUUUUUUUUUUUUUUUUUUUUUUUAACCUGCUAAUGAAUUAAGUCUUUUACAAGUUCAAGUUUUGUGUAAUGAAGAAAGAUUUUAAAAAGGUAUGGUUUUCCUACUCAGUGAUGGAUACUGCUAGUACCUCUGGGGAUUUUGACAUGUGAUUUGGAAACUGGAAGGCUGGAUUCCACUCCCCAGUUCAAACUGGGAGGCUGGAUUCCACUCCCCAGUUGAGACUGGAAGGCUGGAUUCCACUCCCCAGUUCAAACUGGGAGGCUGGAUUCCACUCCCCAGUUCAAACUGGGAGGCUGGAUUCCACUCCCCAGUUCAGACUGGAAGGCUGGAUUCCACUCCCCAGUUCAUAUGCACGCCUCUGAAUUGUGGAUACUUGCUUAGGUGUACAAUGUAAUAUCAUUGUGGCUGGGUUUUAGUUUAAUAGUGCUUUAACAUAUAAAGUACAGUACUAGCACAGACUGGACAAAAGGACUGCUGUGACCUCUACCAAUCUGGAGUAAUUCACAUCGAAUAAGUGCCGAGCCACCUCUGGCAAGGAAAAAAAAUGAGCUACAGGGCUCAUAAAAAGAUUUCUGAGUAGUAAUGAUUUUGUCAUUGAUGGAAACUAUUGAGAACUACAGAGCUUUCUGCAUUUUUCCCCGAGGCAGGAUUCUUAUAGACUUCACAUUUUUGUUUGCCUCAUCCCCACAUGGGAAGUGACGCCUACCUGGAUGUUCUGCUUUUUAAUCUACCUGCUCUCUGGUUGCAGCAAUAUAAGUACAGAUAUAGAAGAAAGAUUCAUAAAUCAGCCCAGUAAUUCUCAUCACCAAAAACUGGGGCAUGGUUUUGUUUAAUGUAUGGAAUUUUAUGACAGCAUUCAAAAGAAUUUAUGAGUUUACAAGCAAGAUUAAAUCAGUUCCAAAGACAGUUGUCGGACUGUGUCCAACAGUAUCAGUAAAACAUUAUGUGGCACUGUCAUUUCUCCAAGUGUUUUGGAGAUUCCAGCUUUAUUCUUAUGGGUUUCAAGGUCACUUUCAGCCUAAGGGACAGGAAAUUGCCACAAUCUACUAGGUGCUUGCAAUUUGGUCAGGGCAGCAUGAAUUGGGAGCAAAGAGGAGAUCCUGGCUGGUUCUUGUGCUUUCUGUGGUAAAGAGGUCUUACUCCUCGGGCAGUUAAAAGCAUCCUUAAGUUCUUACCAGAACUAGUUAAGAAUAAACCUGAAUUCAUGAGCAGUUGGAUUAAUGGUAAGAGAUUACUUCUCAUUAACUGGUCCUUGGCUUUAUAGCACAGAAGAGGUUUGCCAUGCAAAGCAUCCACAGUGCUGCAUCACAGAUCAGUUGCUCUCUUUGCAAAGACCAACAACUUGAUCAAAAGCACAAAGGCUGUGCAAAGAGCAGGGAGAGCAUGAAUGUACAGCCCAUCACAAAGUGACUGCUCUUCUCCUUCUUCACCUCUUUUCUCUUCUGGUGCAGUAUAUGUCUUGAUCCCUUGGCAAUGAAAAUGGCUUCACUCAGAGAAGGAGGCUGUUUGGCUGAUAUCAGAGGUGAUUCCAGCUUCAUGCUGUUGACACGGCCCAUUUACUGUUGAAUCUGUGCUUACACUCCAGCCAUGCUGUUGCAUCCACAUUCCUGGGCUUGGAUUUGUGCCCUUCCUGCCCACAGUCAGUGUGUGCACAUGGUGGCUUGGCUGCCCACCCUUGUACCCGUGCAGCAGGAUGGCACAGCGCCUGCUCACAGAGGUGGGAAGCCAAUUUCACAAGGGUACAGAUGAGCACUGGAAAUAGAAAUGGACUUACACUCUGCUCAAUGCUGCCUCUGCCAGUUCCCCAGCUGGAACUGGCUAAUUUUCAAUUGCAACUUUAAAAAAAAUUAAUUUCUAGGCUUAAUAAAUCUGAAAGUGAAUUACUGCCAAUUAGCACUAGGAAGAUAUUCACAUGUUUUACUUUAAGAAGAAUUUGUGGUGAGGAAUGAGUCAGUAACUGAAUGUUUAGUGACAGCUUCCCCAUAUGUGAUGAGUGUACCUGCUGUCAUGCUCUGCCUACAGACAGGCACAUGUCCAGUGAGUGCUGCUCCAUGGGGGGCUGGGCAGGCAAUGGAGUCAGAAACUGAAUGCUGAGCCGCCUUUUUCAAGGAAACAGAAGGCAAGAGAUGAGAUUUGUUGACUAGAGCCCCUGAACAUCAGGGCAAAUAUUAUGGCUUUAUACCUCCGAAGAUUUGCAUCAAUCAGCACUUAAUAAAUAGUAAAUAACAGGGGCCCACAAUAAUAGAACAAGGAAAGAAGGGAAUUAUCGAUCUUAAAAAGAAAGCAGGGAUGAGGCAGAGAGAAGUUAUGAUUUAUCUGUUUUUCUAAUUACAUGAGAUUAGAACCAGACUAGAAACAUCUGCUGCUUUGAUUUUGCUGCUCCUGGGAUUCCUCAGUCCUUUCUUCGUAAGUGGAAGAUUUCGAGUGAACAGGAUCUGGCCUGAAGAAAUCCAUCAAGCUGUAUUCAUGACUUGGGUUUUCUGUUUGUGCUGAUUUAAAGAUUUGGCCAUUUUGAUUUUCUUUGGAUUAGAUAAGCUCAAGGGAGCUCUCCAAAGGAAUGUG
Serinus canaria (Common canary) is the source of this 3450-nucleotide long non-coding RNA. RefSeq lists it as uncharacterized. The transcript is spliced from 3 exons. The record is from RefSeq and is a predicted model, not a curated record. Lineage: Eukaryota; Metazoa; Chordata; Aves; Passeriformes; Fringillidae.